AAAUCAUUUUGCUUUGAUUAAUAAUUUUGGUCUUUUCUUCCUGCAGGAAGUCCAUCCACCAGUGGAGGAGAGAAGGUCAACAGCAGCGUUUCCACGACGACACAAACGUGUAAAAAUACAGAGAUUGAGACGCUCUCAGACGACUCCACGCUGACAACUCUGGAUGCGCUCAAAGCUCGGAUACGGGAUUUGGAGAAACAGUUGUCUAAAGGAGACAGAUUUAAAUGCCUCAUCUGCAUGGACACGUACACAACUCCACUCACUUCCAUCCAGUGCUGGCACGUUCACUGUGAGGAGUCU
This is a long non-coding RNA of Cynoglossus semilaevis (tongue sole), 300 nucleotides long. RefSeq lists it as uncharacterized. NCBI's taxonomy places the organism in Eukaryota, Metazoa, Chordata, Actinopteri, Pleuronectiformes, Cynoglossidae. The transcript has 3 exons. The record is from RefSeq and is a predicted model, not a curated record.